GAAUUGCGAUAAGUAAUGUGAAUUGCAGAAUUCAGUGAAUCAUCAAAUCUUUGAACGCACAUUGCGCUCCUUGGUAUUCCGGGGAGCAUGCCUGUUUGAGAAUCAAUAAAUCUCUCACCGCUGGUCGAUCUGUCUUGGUUUUUUCCUGGACAGAUUCCUGGUGGUGGAUUUGAGUCCUUUGCGACCUCGCGGCCACAAUGACUUUAAAUUCAAUGUCUGCAGCCUUUUUCCGCAUGGGGAUUCGCUUUUGAGUGCAUGAACUGUUUUAAUUAACCUAGACUUCACUCUUUCAAAGUGUUCCUGAUAUGAGGGAAAUGACAGUUUGACCCAACCAUUAUAUCCUUGCAAGAUCAAUUUUUUGUGAUCGCGCAUCGAAAACUUGGUCUCAAAUCAGGUAGGA
This 400-nucleotide unclassified non-coding RNA is filed under the name uncultured fungus. RNAcentral's name for it is "sequence contains ITS1". The stretch from base 1 to 105 matches the Rfam family "5.8S ribosomal RNA", at positions 50 to 154 of the family's 154-position model. The record is from RNAcentral. Lineage: Eukaryota; Fungi.